RNAcentral lists this small RNA (27 nucleotides) under Bombyx mori (domestic silkworm). RNAcentral's name for it is "piRNA piR-bmo-1869228". The record is from RNAcentral. Lineage: Eukaryota; Metazoa; Arthropoda; Insecta; Lepidoptera; Bombycidae.
UACCGGAGUUCGGGGUUGUGAUACAGC